Molecule: ribosomal RNA, 253 nt
Filed under: uncultured bacterium
Lineage: Bacteria
Description: partial 16S ribosomal RNA
Rfam family: Bacterial small subunit ribosomal RNA
Source: RNAcentral
UACGGAGGGAGCUAGCGUUGUUCGGAAUUACUGGGCGUAAAGCGUGUGUAGGUGGCUCGUUAAGUCUGGUGUGAAAGCCCUGAGCUCAACUCAGGAAUUGCAUCGGAAACUAACAAGCUGGAGUCCGGGAGAGGGUAGUGGAAUUCCUGGUGUAGAGGUGAAAUUCGUAGAUAUCAGGAGGAACACCGGUGGCGAAGGCGGCUACCUGGACCGGUACUGACACUGAGACACGAAAGCGUGGGGAGCAAACAGG